Long non-coding RNA from Mus musculus (house mouse), 837 nucleotides. RefSeq annotates it as RIKEN cDNA 4933432G23 gene. The transcript is spliced from 5 exons. Lineage: Eukaryota; Metazoa; Chordata; Mammalia; Rodentia; Muridae. The record is from RefSeq and is marked validated.
AGUUGGAGGGGUUAAGACUCUCUCCCCUAAAGCAAGCCAUAAAGCUGGGGCAGAAAGUCAUUCCAGAAGGGUUCUGCCCCAUCCCCGGGGGUAAGGAAUGCUGCAUAAAGAGGCCAAGAAGAAUCUGAGCAGACAGGCCUUGCUGGGUUCCCCGCUGGUCUAUCACCAACCGUGAAUCUAUACAGCUGUCCACUCUUCCUUCUUCCUCAAACGAGCAGAGAGUGCUGGCGUUUCUGAGAUGUGGGCAAGUUUUGAUCGUAUCCUUUAACCAGAGGGGCAAUGGGUUUGUAACUGAACAUCAACACUAAACAGAAGUUUAUGAAGUCACGAGUGUCCUUCUCAGUCUCUAGAGGGGUUCAUCUAUAACCUUAACACAGCAUUGAUGGCGGUGAUGAAGGAUCCUGCCCGUCCUCCCAGAGCAUCGAGAGCUCUCAUUCUGAGAAUCAGGCGAAGUGGCUAGGACUACAGUGAUUUGAUUAUUCCUGUAUAUACAAUUUUCAAGCUCCGUGCCUAGAGCGUGCAUGCAGUUGCUGCAUUCCUUUGAGAAGACCCAGAUUGUCAAGGGGAAACCUUUCUGGAGAGAGAGCAAGAACAACACACUUCGUGGAGGUCAGAGGACAACUUUGUGCAGUCAGUUUUUUGCCUUCUGAUCCUAUGUGAGCAUCAGCCUUAUCCUGCCAACAGCGUUACCCACUGAGCCACCUCGACUGCUAACUUGGGGACUUAUUUCAGGGACUUAUUAUCUCUGUGCUUGAUUUCAUUGACUCUGGCCAUCAGAAUUUAUGUCUGUCUGGGUUUUAUGAUUACAGGAGGAAUAAAGGAAAUAGGGUCACUGAG